This 509-nucleotide ribosomal RNA is filed under the name uncultured bacterium. Its description in RNAcentral is "partial 16S ribosomal RNA". It matches the Rfam family "Bacterial small subunit ribosomal RNA", at positions 30 to 523 of the family's 1533-position model. The record is from RNAcentral.
AUUGAACGCUGGCGGCAUACUUAACACAUGCAAGUCGAACGGCAGCACGGUCUAGUUUACUAGAUGGGUGGCGAGUGGCGAACGGGUGAGUAAUACGAAGGAAUAUAACCUAGAGAGGGGGAUAACUUGGGGAAACUUAAGCAAAUACCGCGUGAUAUUUGAGGAUUAAAGCUUGGGACCAGAGAUGGCCAGGCGCGCUAGGAAUAGACUUCGUCCGAUUAGCUAGUUGGUGUGGUAAAGGCGUCACCAAGGCGACGAUCGGUAGCUGGUCUGAGAGGAUGGACAGCCACACUGGGACUGAGACACGGCCCAGACUCCUACGGGAGGCAGCAGUGGGGAAUAUUGGACAAUGGGGGCAACCCUGAUCCAGAAAUGCCGCGUGUGUGAAGAAGGCCUGAGGGUUGUAAAGCACUUUCAGUGGGGAGGAGGGUGUAUUGGUUAAGAGCUGAUAUAUUGGACGUUACCCACAGAAGAAGCACCGGCUAACUCCGUGCCAGCAGCCGCCGUAA